GAUGAACGCUAGCGGCAGGCCUAACACAUGCAAGUCGAGGGGUAGAGUUAGCUUUGCUAACUUGAGACCGGCGCACCGGGUGCGUAACGCGUAUGCAAUCUACCUUUACUGAGGGAAUAGCCCAGAGAAAUUUGGAUUAAUACCUCAUAGUAUUAUUGAGUGGCAUCAUUUGAUAAUUAAAGUUCCAACGGUAAAAGAUGAGCAUGCGUCCCAUUAGUUAGUUGGUAAGGUAACGGCUUACCAAGACUAUGAUGGGUAGGGGUCCUGAGAGGGAGAUCCCCCACACUGGUACUGAGACACGGACCAGACUCCUACGGGAGGCAGCAGUGAGGAAUAUUGGACAAUGGGCGCAAGCCUGAUCCAGCCAUGCCGCGUGCAGGAAGACGGUCCUAUGGAUUGUAAACUGCUUUUAUACAGGAAGAAACACUCCCUCGUGAGGGAGCUUGACGGUACUGUAGGAAUAAGGAUCGGCUAACUCCGUGCCAGCAGCCGCGGUAAUAC
This 501-nucleotide ribosomal RNA is filed under the name marine sediment bacterium ISA-3084. RNAcentral's name for it is "bacterial SSU rRNA". It matches the Rfam family "Bacterial small subunit ribosomal RNA", at positions 28 to 526 of the family's 1533-position model. The record is from RNAcentral.